UAAUAAACCCUAGUUCUGAACCUGUAUUGUAUAGCAGCCUAUUGAAAAAUAAUAUGCUCAAAAGCUUCCAUAGAUACACAAUCUAAAAUCCUUGAAGCGUUUCUCCUACAAAAUCAUAAUCUAAGUAAGCAGCGGCGUAACAAGGACAAUUCACAUCUUCAGUUGCCUGAAAAACUGCAUUAAUGCUCUAGAUGGAACACAUAUUCCGUCAAGUUCUGCAGUUUACUGGGAUUCAGUUUCUGCUCAGUAACUAUAGGCUGCUUCUUCACAGU
RNAcentral lists this long non-coding RNA (272 nucleotides) under Fragaria vesca (wild strawberry). Its description in RNAcentral is "long non-coding RNA (FVES_LNC002432)". Lineage: Eukaryota; Viridiplantae; Streptophyta; Magnoliopsida; Rosales; Rosaceae. The record is from RNAcentral.